RNAcentral lists this ribosomal RNA (253 nucleotides) under uncultured bacterium. RNAcentral's name for it is "partial 16S ribosomal RNA". It matches the Rfam family "Bacterial small subunit ribosomal RNA", at positions 524 to 776 of the family's 1533-position model. The record is from RNAcentral.
UACGUAGGGAGCAAGCGUUGUCCGGAAUCAUUGGGCGUAAAGCGCGCGUAGGCGGCCCUGUAAGUCCGCUGUGAAAGUCAAAGGCUCAACCUUUGAAAGCCGGUGGAUACUGCAGGGCUAGAGUCCGGAAGAGGCGAGUGGAAUUCCUGGUGUAGCGGUGGAAUGCGCAGAUAUCAGGAGGAACACCGGUGGCGAAGGCGGGUCUCUGGGCAACAACUGACGCUGAGGAGCGAAAGCGUGGGGAGCGAACAGG